This 465-nucleotide ribosomal RNA is filed under the name uncultured bacterium. RNAcentral's name for it is "partial 16S ribosomal RNA". It matches the Rfam family "Bacterial small subunit ribosomal RNA", at positions 28 to 507 of the family's 1533-position model. The record is from RNAcentral.
GACGAACGCUGGCGGCGUGCUUAACACAUGCAAGUCGUACGGUAAGGCCCUUUCGGGGGUACACGAGUGGCGAACGGGUGAGUAACACGUGAGUAACCUGCCCACAACUUUGGGAUAACGCUAGGAAACUGGUGCUAAUACUGGAUAUGUGCUCCUGCUGCAUGGUGGGGGUUGGAAAGCUCCGGCGGUUGUGGAUGGACUCGCGGCCUAUCAGCUUGUUGGUGGGGGAGUGGCCUACCAAGGCGGCGACGGGUAGCCGGCCUGAGAGGGUGACCGGCCACAUUGGGACUGAGAUACGGCCCAGACUCCUACGGGAGGCAGCAGGGGGGAAUAUUGCACAAUGGGCGCAAGCCUGAUGCAGCAACGCCGCGUGCGGGAUGACGGGCUUCGGGUUGGAAACCGCUUUCAGCAGGGACGAAGCUUUUUGUGACGGUACCUGCAGAAGAAGCACCGGCUAACUACGUG